RNAcentral lists this ribosomal RNA (207 nucleotides) under uncultured bacterium. RNAcentral's name for it is "partial 16S ribosomal RNA". It matches the Rfam family "Bacterial small subunit ribosomal RNA", at positions 1295 to 1500 of the family's 1533-position model. The record is from RNAcentral.
GGAUCGCAGGCUGCAACCCGCCCUGCGUGAAGCUGGAAUUGCUAGUAAUCGCGGAUCAGCAAGCCGCGGUGAAUACGUUCCCGGGCCUUGUACACACCGCCCGUCACACCAUGAGAGUCGGGAACACCCGAAGUCCGUAGUCUAACCGCAAGGGGGGCGCGGCCGAAGGUGGGUCCGGUAAUUGGGGUGAAGUCGUAACAAGGUAAC